Molecule: ribosomal RNA, 496 nt
Filed under: bacterium CV11
Lineage: Bacteria
Description: bacterial SSU rRNA
Rfam family: Bacterial small subunit ribosomal RNA
Source: RNAcentral
UCAUGGCUCAGAUUGAACGCUGGCGGCAUGCCUUACACAUGCAAGUCGAACGGCAGCGCGGGGGCAACCCUGGCGGCGAGUGGCGAACGGGUGAGUAAUACAUCGGAACGUGUCCUGGAGUGGGGGAUAGCCCGGCGAAAGCCGGAUUAAUACCGCAUACGCUCUGUGGAGGAAAGCGGGGGAUCUUCGGACCUCGCGCUCAAGGGGCGGCCGAUGGCAGAUUAGCUAGUUGGUGGGGUAAAGGCCUACCAAGGCGACGAUCUGUAGCUGGUCUGAGAGGACGACCAGCCACACUGGGACUGAGACACGGCCCAGACUCCUACGGGAGGCAGCAGUGGGGAAUUUUGGACAAUGGGGGCAACCCUGAUCCAGCAAUGCCGCGUGUGUGAAGAAGGCCUUCGGGUUGUAAAGCACUUUUGUCCGGAAAGAAAACCUCCGUCCUAAUACGAUGGGGGGAAUGACGGUACCGGAAGAAUAAGCACCGGCUAACUAACGU